This 253-nucleotide ribosomal RNA is filed under the name uncultured bacterium. Its description in RNAcentral is "partial 16S ribosomal RNA". It matches the Rfam family "Bacterial small subunit ribosomal RNA", at positions 524 to 776 of the family's 1533-position model. The record is from RNAcentral.
UACGUAGGGACCAAGCGUUGUUCGGAUUUACUGGGCGUAAAGGGCGCGUAGGCGGCGCGGUAAGUCACUUGUGAAAUCUCUGAGCUUAACUCAGAACAGCCAAGUGAUACUGCAGUGCUAGAGUGUGGAAGGGGCAAUCGGAAUUCUUGGUGUAGCGGUGAAAUGCGCAGAUAUCAGGGGGAACACCGGUGGCGAAGGCGCCACUCUGGGCCGAAACUGACGCUGAGGAGCGAAAGCGUGGGUAGCAAACAGG